CCGGAGACUCCUACUUGAUAUGGGCAGUUUAAAGCCACUUUCCCUUUAAAUUUUUCUGUGACAACUCUUUUCAUGGAGAAUGAAAAGACUCUCGUUAAGUGUUGCCAUUCAGAAGUGUUGGCGGUCGUUGCUAACAUGAGAUCCAACAAGAAAUGGUGAAAAUGCACAAUGCCUCAGGACACCUUGAGGAAGGAGCAGCGUGUUGCUGCCGAGGGUGAACACACGUGGUCUCUGCGGAGAGGCGACAGAUCUCCCUGGGCGUCAGUCAUCCUGGGACUGGGUGUCGUGGAAGAAGGUGACACCAGGCAGAAACCAAGAGCAGGGGAGCUGCAGGCCGGCAUCAGAGCCCGUAUCAGAGCAGAGUGGCCCCUGAG
This 374-nucleotide long non-coding RNA is filed under the name Homo sapiens (human). RNAcentral's name for it is "non-protein coding lnc-IQCG-4:1". The record is from RNAcentral. Lineage: Eukaryota; Metazoa; Chordata; Mammalia; Primates; Hominidae.